Molecule: ribosomal RNA, 385 nt
Filed under: uncultured bacterium
Lineage: Bacteria
Description: bacterial SSU rRNA
Rfam family: Bacterial small subunit ribosomal RNA
Source: RNAcentral
AACGAACGCUGGCGGCAUGCCUAACACAUGCAAGUCGAACGAAGUCCUUAGGGGCUUAGUGGCGCACGGGUGCGUAACGCGUGGGAAUCUGCCUCUUGGUUCGGAAUAACAGUUAGAAAUGACUGCUAAUACCGGAUGAUGUCUACGGACCAAAGAUUUAUCGCCAAGAGAUGAGCCCGCGUAGGAUUAGGUAGUUGGUGGGUAAAGGCCUACCAAGCCGACGAUCCUUAGCUGGUCUGAGAGGAUGAUCAGCCACACUGGGACUGAGACACGGCCCAGACUCCUACGGGAGGCAGCAGUGGGGAAUAUUGGACAAUGGGCGAAAGCCUGAUCCAGCAAUGCCGCGUGAGUGAUGAAGGCCUUAGGGUUGUAAAGCUCUUUUACC